AUUAUUAUUAUUAUUAUUACACACACACACACACACCUCUCUCUCUGUAGUUGCUGUGUCCUCCAUUGCAUGUGUUUCAUUUAAUAUAUUUAUUAUUGGUUUAUAAACAUUGUGUACACCAAAAUCUGUCAUUAAAUACAUGUAGACAUUUUGUGGCUUUUAUAAUGAGAGUCUAUGGGAAAUUUGAUAUGAUUUACGAAAACUGAACUGACAAGAGGAUUUUCGGGGAUUGGAAUCUUUUUGUAAAUCUGGGACUGCCUGUUUUUAGAAAAUGCCAUACUAUUUUGUACCUUAAUUAUUAUAUUGAGUCAUUUCAUUUUAUUCCAGAUGUUCCAUUUCCCAAGACUUUUAUACCUUUAUGCAAGAAAAUUCUCACCAGGCUCUUCAGAGUGUUUGUCCAUGUGUACAUCCAUCAUUUUGACCGCAUUGUUGCCAUCGGAGCAGAAGCCCACGUUAAUACUUGCUACAAACAUUUUUAUUACUUCAUAAUGGAGUUUGACCUGGUGCCUCAGAAGGAGCACGAACCCUUGAAAGACAUGACAGCUAAGAUCUGCUAUGACAAUCCGGAACUUCCUACCAGUCUUGACCACAAGAAGUAGCGAGUAUUUAAGAGAGAAACCUGCCACGAGGAAUGCCUGGACCAUGAUGAUAAAAUGGCAUCAUAACUUUUCUCACAAGAGGUCAGUUUAAUUGUGAAUGUUUGAAUUACAUUUGUGACGACACUGUUGAAUCUGUGAACUCUGGUUGAGACUGAUUUUUUGUUUUGUUUUGUAUUAGGGUUCUGUUUGUGUCAUCUAAAAUCAUCAGAAACAUUAUUUUGUUUUGUUUUCAUUAUGAACAAAAAUUUUGUCAAGAAUGCAUUUUUUAGUACUUUUAUCUGUGUUUUUAUUGACACUGUGUAAAGGUAAUUGAGUCUUUUUUUUUACGGAUGUGAGCUUCUUGUUGUAUACCUCAUUGUCGUCUGUAAAACUAAUUCUGUUUAUGCGGGAAUUACAAAAAACUUUUGAUCAACUACAUACUGGAUAUAUAAUAUGGAAGGCUGUUUUUAGGAUUGCUCAUAAUACAAUAAUGAAUCUGAGGCAUAUCACUAAAAGUAAGGUUCAGUACAUGUCCAUGUAUUUGUAAGUAAAUUGUAAACACAUAUAUGCAAUUAAAUUAGCUGUCAUACUUUUAUUAAUUCUCAGUACAAAACAGCGACCAUAUUCUUGACAAUACUAAUUGCAAUCAGUAGAUUAUAUGGUAAUAAGAAAAUAUCUUAACUUCAUUAGGCAUACACCUAUAUACUGUAACUGUAAUAUGGAACUGAAAAUCAAUCAAAAUUUUUUAAUUUGUUUGUAAUAGGCUGCCAAAUGCAUAGUUUAGUUUCAUUUCUGUAUGCUGAUAUUUUUCACGAAUCUAUUGUAACUGGUAGCGGAGAACUUUUUGUUGGCCUAGAAUAGUGAAAUCAUUUUAUCUUUACUCUGGUUAUUUAUACUAUUGUAAUGUAAAAAGUAUCAAUAGGUAUUUUAUUGUAAGCAACUGAUGUUGAUCAUGAAGCUUUAUAUAUCAAGAAUGUUGAAUUAAUUUGAUGAAGUCAUUAUGAUUUAAUGUUUGCAUAAAUCAUUGCCAUUUUUGGUACAUAUUUUUUUAUCUUGACUUAUAAUUGUGUGGUUACUCUGGUUGGCAAUUUUUGUUCUCAAUAACGUGCAUUAAUUCAGUUAGAUCUGCUUAUUUUUUAAGAUUUAGUUAAAAGGAAGAGAGGAGGAUUAGGAUAAAUAUUCUAAGGGUUAGAUAUGUGUAACCACAGUUUUAUUGUUGUAAUAGAAUAUUUACAUUGCCACUUUUGCCAGUAAGGAAAUGGCAAGCUCUCUUAAUUAUAAAUGAUAUACAGUAAUCAAGGAAUUGAUAAAAAAGGUUGUGACAUGUGAGGGAGAGCAUGACCAUGUUGUUGGAGAGGCCUCCUGGGUAAUUUGUCAUCGCUGUUGAGAAAAUGUUCCAACAAGUUAACAGAUGGGGAAAAGACAAAACACCUAUGUUUGCUUUAUAAGACCCACAAUUUAGGAGUGCAGUACAGUAUAGCCAAAAUUGAAUAUGCGAAAAAUAUCAUCUUUGAUAUGAUUCAGUACUGCUUCUCAUGUGUAGGCAACUUGAGAAUGUAUCAUUUUGGGUUUGAGUUGCAUUUUAUGUUUUCUACUCAAAGUCCAUAAUUCUCUAAGGAGUAUUUUUCAGGUUUUGACAUUGUAUGUCAUUGUCACUCAAAGUCCAGAGACUUGGCCAGCUUUGUAUGCUAGAAAUAUGCUACCUCACAAGUAGGAAGCACCAUUGCUUCUGUAUUCUCUGUGAAAUUUUACUCUGAUAACUUCACAUAAGACAAAGAGGAAAAUUAGAGACUGAUUAACUUGUGCAUUUAAAUCAAGAGUAUGGUACAUGGAAAUGACUGAUGUAGCAUAGUGAUGGACUCCAUACUAACACCCGACUAUGAUGGUAACAUAGUGAUGGACUCCAUACUAACACCCUACUAUGAUGGUAACAUUGUGAUGGACUCCAUACUAACACCCUACUAUGAUGGUAACAUUGUGAUGGACUCCAUACUAACACCCUACUAUGAUGGUAACAUUGUGAUGGACUCCAUACUAACACCCUACUAUGAUGGUAACAUAGUGAUGGACUCCAUACUAACACCCUACUAUGAUGGUAACAUAGUGAUGGACUCCAUACUAACACCCUACUAUGAUGGUAACAUAGUGAUGGACUCCAUACUAACACCCUACUAUGAUGGUAACAUAGUGAUGGACUCCAUACUAACACCCUACUAUGAUGGUAACAUAGUGAUGGACUCCAUACUAACACCCUACUAUGAUGGUAACAUAGUGAUGGACUCCAUACUAACACCCUACUAUGAUGGUAACAUAGUGAUGGACUCCAUACUAACACCCUACUAUGAUGGUAACAUAGUGAUGGACUCCAUACAACACCCUACUAUGAUGGUAACAUAGUGAUGGACUCCAUACUAACACCCUACUAUGAUGGUAACAUAGUGAUGGACUCCAUACUAACACCCUACUAUGAUGGUAACAUAGUGAUGGACUCCAUACUAACACCCUACUAUGAUGGUAACAUAGUGAUGGACUCCAUACUAACACCCUACUAUGAUGGUAGCAUAGUGAUGGAUACCAUACUAUUACCCCUCGUACAAUGGAAAUUUUGUGAUCUCAAGCUUGGUCCCUGUAGUAGAUAUAAAAAUUUUUUGCUUGACAUUUUAUUGUCAGUUCAUAUUUUAACUAAACUGUGUCCACUUGGGUGUCCUGACCAGCAUUCACAAUUUGUACAUGUUGAUUGUUUGAUGGUUGCUAAGUAAGUUGUGCUCCCAUGUUAUACAGUAUAUCAGGGUUUUUCAGGUGAAGACAAAAUUUUCAUAUAAAAACAAAGUUAUAUUAAACAUUAAAAAGAAGAAAUAGGGCAUAACUUAACCAUUAUGAUGGCACGACUCAUUUGUUAACUACUCUGAAUUGUGACAGUUGCUAAGAAUGCCAAAAAGUGGGUGGAUGAUCUUUGGACCUCAGAGGUGGGUGGAUGAUAAAGGUUUUAAUUGGUAAAGAUAACAGUUUCCUCAUUGUGACACACAAAGUUUACAUUUGUAACAGUGGUCCCUUUUGACCUAACUUAUACUGUUGCUGUGGAAGAGAGAUUAGGUACAUGCUCCUUUGGUACAAAAAUUAUAUAUGCUAAAUACCAGGUUGAUUGCUUCUAUCAGUACAGUACAGUGUUACCACCCUUAAUUGUUAUGAUGUAGUGACAAAGCUGUACUAUGCUUCUGCAUUGCCUGCUUGUACUUGAAUCUGAUUUUUGUAUCACAGGAAUGGUGUUUUUUUUUUAAUCUUUACCUCAGAACAUUUUCACUUUAUAUGACAUGUACAGUUAAUGUAACAGAAAUUUAGUAGGUUUUUAAGAUGCUUAUGAAAUUCAUACAGUAUAUGAAUAAUGUAUAUGUGUGUAUACUUUCUUUCAUGAAAAACUAUGUUGCAUUAAGUCUUGUUCUCUUUUGAAAUGUAGCAAAACCUGAGCAAGAUUUUGUGAAUAGCUAAUAUUUAUAAAAGUGUUUUAAUUUAUUACUCUCCUCUAAGAAUAGUCCUUACUGAGAGCUUUAAUGAAGAUCAGAGCUUAUUCUUAAUAUUACUAUGGCUGCCAGUACUUAACCAUUUGUUGUUUUAUAAUCCAGUAAUGUGUCCAACUAUUCAUAAGUUCUUCCCAAAGGCUUAGAAGAAAUUGUUUUAUGUUAUUUAUUUAUAUUUUUAAUUAUCAAAAGUUCCCUUGACUCAUCCUCCUGUCUUCCAUCCUUUAGGAGUUCCUUCCAACAUUACAUAUACAACUCCUGGACCUCAGUACAAAGGCCAGUGUCAUUUUUGGUAUUUUCUAGAUGAAUAUUAAUGAGUUCAUUCUAGUUGUAUCUUUCAAUGUUGUACAGCUUGUGCCAGUACCAUAUCAGCAAUGAUCAUACUGUAGGAGAGCAUAUUCUUGGCUGGUAUCAAGCAACAAAUAUAUCAAUAUUGUUAUUAAGGUUGUGGGUAAAUAUGUUUACAUAAUGUACAGCAUACUGGCAGUUGUAAACUUCACAGAUUUUUUUUACUGAAAUACCUCCAUAACACUUUGAAAUUAGCAGGUAUGGAUGUGUUCAGGUGAUUUUUUAAUAAUGAUUAAAAGAACUACAAAAUUGCCUUUUCUGACAAUGGCAUUUUUUUGCAUUGAGUUUCAGACUUGUGUCUCUAUUAUGCCCUUGUUACUUGUUAUCUCAGUUCUCUAUAUGCUAGUGUCAAUCUCUUAUGUUUGUUUGUGUUAAUGAGUGAUUUUUGUGUGUGACUGGCUGCUAUGUAAGUUGUCUUAGACAUUUCUUGUAAUUUUCUUAACACUCUUGCACCACUCCAUACUAUUUCCCUGUUCUUACAUAUUCUUGUACACCUUGAUCCAUUCUUCAUAAAGGUAAUGUUUAGAUAGAGUAUGGCUGUGCUUUUAAUUUGCAUAUGUAUGGCUAUAGGCAAGUAUUUUCACAUAUACUGUAUGUACAUAAAUGUGCAAAUACAGUACACACUAGUGUGUAUAAUGUGUAUGUACAAAUGCAUUUAUACAAAUUUGUGUGAGCUCAUGUUCAUGUAUGCUUUUAUUCCUAUGUCUUUUGUUAAUGAUACUUGCUCAGUAGGGACUGAAGAGUAACUGAAUAAAGAUCAUGUAGAAGUAA
RNAcentral lists this long non-coding RNA (5212 nucleotides) under Homarus americanus (American lobster). Its description in RNAcentral is "uncharacterized LOC121876306". Lineage: Eukaryota; Metazoa; Arthropoda; Malacostraca; Decapoda; Nephropidae. The record is from RNAcentral.